This 655-nucleotide transfer RNA is filed under the name uncultured Prochlorococcus sp. RNAcentral describes it as "16S-23S ribosomal RNA intergenic spacer". The stretch from base 266 to 338 matches the Rfam family "tRNA". The record is from RNAcentral. Lineage: Bacteria; Bacillati; Cyanobacteriota; Cyanophyceae; Synechococcales; Prochlorococcaceae.
CAGGGAGACAACAACUGAUCGUGAUGUCUGAGUUAUUGAUACUUAGGCCAUGAUCCUGUCACCUUAGGUCGAUCGGUACCUCAAGUUGAGAAUCAAAGAAAAGCUGAUUAAUCAGCUUGGAGAUUGAUGAUUGAUUUUAGUUCCUAAACUUGUCUAGGUCACACCCCGCAAGGGUUACUCCUGGGCCAUUAGCUCAGGUGGUUAGAGCGCACCCCUGAUAAGGGUGAGGUCCCUGGUUCAAGUCCAGGAUGGCCCAUUCGGUGUUGGGGGUUUAGCUCAGUUGGUAGAGCGCCUGCUUUGCAAGCAGGAUGUCAGCGGUUCGAGUCCGCUAACCUCCACUGACGAAUCUUCUGACAACGAGUCAAUGGUGAGAACCGUUGUGUGAUGUGAUUUAGAAUUUAAGUUUGCUGGAAGACCCUAGCUUCUUAUCAUUCCAGGCCUCAAUUAAUUGAGGUUAGGUUGAUAGGACGCUGGGCUCACUGUAAUUCGCAAGAAUUGCAGAGAUGUUCAGUAGAACCUUGACAACUGCAUAGGUAAGUCUGGAAAGAAUAAAGCAUCUCAUAGAUGCAUGAUUCUUGGGAGUCAGCUAAUGCAAUCUGCGCCAGUAGAGAGCUGAGUUGAUGAAUGAGAAUGAUGUUUGAUUCUUUGAGUCAAG